GCCGCCAUAGGAUGGGUCUGCGGCCGAUUAGGUUGUUGUUGGGGUAACGGCCCAACAAGCCUGUAAUCGGUACGGGUUGUGGGAGCAAGAGCCCGGAGAUGGAUUCUGAGACACGAAUCCAGGCCCUACGGGGCGCAGCAGGCGCGAAAACUUUACAAUGCGGGAAACCGUGAUAAGGGAACUCCGAGUGCCCGUAAAAUCGGGCUGUCCAUCUGUUUAAAUAACAGGUGAAGAAAGGGCCGGGCAAGACCGGUGCCAGCCGCCGCGGUAAUACCGGCGGCUCGAGUGGUGGCCACUAUUACUGGGCUUAAAGCGUUCGUAGCUGGUUUGUUAAGUCUCUGGGGAAAUCUGCCGGCUCAACCGGCAGGCGUUCCAGGGAUACUGGCAGACUAGGGACCGGGAGAGGUGAGGGGUACUCCAGGGGUAGGAGUGAAAUCCUGUAAUCCUUGGGGGACCACCUGUGGCGAAGGCGCCUCACCAGAACGGCUCCGACAGUGAGGGACGAAAGCUGGGGGAGCAAACCGGAUUAGAUACCCGGGUAGUCCCAGCCGUAAACGAUGCGCGUUAGGUGUAUCGGUGACCACGAGUCACCGAGGUGCCGAAGAGAAAUCGUGAAACGUGCCGCCUGGGAAGUACGGUCGCAAGGCUGAAACUUAAAGGAAUUGGCGGGGGAG
This 674-nucleotide ribosomal RNA is filed under the name uncultured archaeon. RNAcentral's name for it is "bacterial SSU rRNA". It matches the Rfam family "Archaeal small subunit ribosomal RNA", at positions 198 to 876 of the family's 1478-position model. The record is from RNAcentral.